RNAcentral lists this long non-coding RNA (344 nucleotides) under Nicotiana benthamiana. Its description in RNAcentral is "long non-coding RNA (NBEN_LNC025080)". The record is from RNAcentral. Lineage: Eukaryota; Viridiplantae; Streptophyta; Magnoliopsida; Solanales; Solanaceae.
ACAGAUAUAAGCAAAUAAGAGAAGAAGGAACCUCGAAAUAGCUUUAGAGUUUCUUAGAAAUUCUAUAAAUGAGAAAGCUUGGAAAAGGUCUGGUCUCAAACAGGUUUGAGCCGUAGCUAGGCUCUUAAGGCUUAAAAACGUCAGCAUAAAUCGGUGGAGGAUCUGAAGAUGCAUCGUUGAGGUCGAACCUCAAAACCUUGAACAACCAGGUCCUGGAGGUUAAAGCAUGUGAGAACAUGCUGUCCAUGGCUUCAGAAUCUAUGGACAUCGCUGAAGAUUGAUCGGAGAUGGCGACGAAGAUGAUUAGGGUUUCGAGGGCUAUAGAGCGUUUGAGAAGAGGAAGA